CCUACGGGUGGCAGCAGUGGGGAAUAUUGCUCAAUGGGGGAAACCCUGAUGCAGCGACGCCGCGUGAGUGAAGAAGUAUUUCGGUAUGUAAAGCCCUUUUUGCAGGGAAGAAAAUGACGGUACCUGACCAAUAAGCCCCGGCUAACUACGUGCCAGCAGCCGCGGUAAUCCGUAGGGGGCAAGCGUUACCCGGAAUGACUGGGUGUAAAGGGAGCGUAGGCGGGAGCGCAAGUCAGAAGGGAAAUCCUUGGGCUUAACCCUUGAACUGCAUUUGAAACUGUGAAUCUGGAGUAGGGGAGAGGUAGGCGGAAUUCCUGGUGUAGGGGUGAAAUGCGUAGAGAUCAAGAGGAACACCAAUUGCGAAGGCGGCCUACUGGAGUCUAACUGACGCUGAGGCGCGAAAGCGUGGGGAGCAAACAGGAUUAGAUACCCCUGUAGUC
RNAcentral lists this ribosomal RNA (440 nucleotides) under uncultured bacterium. RNAcentral's name for it is "partial 16S ribosomal RNA". It matches the Rfam family "Bacterial small subunit ribosomal RNA", at positions 338 to 795 of the family's 1533-position model. The record is from RNAcentral.